Molecule: transfer RNA, 72 nt
Filed under: Camelus ferus (Wild Bactrian camel)
Lineage: Eukaryota; Metazoa; Chordata; Mammalia; Artiodactyla; Camelidae
Rfam family: tRNA
About the family: Transfer RNA (tRNA) molecules are approximately 80 nucleotides in length.
Source: Rfam by way of RNAcentral
GAGGGUAUAGCUCAGUGGUACAGCGCAAGCUUAGCGUGCACGAGGUCCUGGAUUCAAUUCCCAGUACCUCCA